ACAGAGCGAUCGUUAGCUUCCAACCAGCUUGGUUAGGCUGGUUGGGCCCAUGGCUUCGGUUUUCGGGAUUCGUUUGAGGCGUCGAUUUCCAUUUGGGAUGGCGCUUUGCGAAUCUCACCGUUCGUUUAGUCUUCAUCUCAUCUCAUCUGUCGUUCGUUCAGCCAUUCCAAAGUUCGUCUGAGAGAUUUUCAAUCUGCAAGUUCUUUCAUCCUCUGUCCAACGUUUGUCUGAUAGAUUUUCGAUCUACGAGUUCUUCCAUUGUUUCUCUUCAGGUUUUGCAAGAUGAUAGUAGUGUAUGAGAGCGUCAAGAGGAGGCUGUGAGUAGAAGGCGGUUCUUUGCAGGCUAGACAAGGGGGAAAAUGGUCCCUUUCUGUUCACUUAUUCUCCCGGAAUAUUAUGCCUAAAGUAGUUAAAUAAGUUAUCACAACUAUUCAAAAGUAUAUAUAUGUUUGGUAUCAUCUCAUGUUGCUUAGCAAUGAAAAGAUGAAAGAUCAGUUACAGAGAAACAGGUGGUGCAAAUGUUACAUUUGUAUUUUUUUGAUUUCAUUCUUUUGUUGUGCUAAUGCCUCGUUGCCUUUUUUUUUUCCCUUCUAUGAUGUGUCUCUGGAACCAGCAAAAGUUCCCUCUUUGGACUUGCUCCACUUGAAGCAGUGCUAUUUAAUAUUGAUAGAACUCCAUGUGAUUUAGAUCCCAUUCAUUUCAAUGCCUUCCACAAAAUGCUUCCAUAGUUUUUGCAAGAUGUUAACAGUGUACAAGAGAAUCCAAAAGAGGCUAUGAGUAGAAGGAGGUUCUUUGCAAGCUAGACAAGAUUGAAAUUUAUUUAUUUAUUUAUUUAU
This is a long non-coding RNA of Prunus persica (peach), 836 nucleotides long. RefSeq lists it as uncharacterized. Lineage: Eukaryota; Viridiplantae; Streptophyta; Magnoliopsida; Rosales; Rosaceae. The transcript has 3 exons. The record is from RefSeq and is a predicted model, not a curated record.